GAUGAACGCUAGCGGGAGGCCUAACACAUGCAAGCCGAGCGGUAUUUGUUCUUCGGAACAGAGAGAGCGGCGCACGGGUGCGGAACACGUGUGCAACCUGCCUUUAUCUGGGGGAUAGCCUUUCGAAAGGAAGAUUAAUACCCCAUAAUAUAUUGAGUGGCAUCCUUUGAUAUUGAAAACUCCGGUGGAUAGAGAUGGGCACGCGCAAGAUUAGAUAGUUGGUGAGGUAACGGCUCACCAAGUCAAUGAUCUUUAGGGGGCCUGAGAGGGUGAUCCCCCACACUGGUACUGAGACACGGACCAGACUGCUACGGGAGGCAGCAGUGAGGAAUAUUGAACAAUGGGUUAGCGCCUGAUCCAGCCAUCCCGCGUGAAGGACGACGGCCCGAGGGGUUGUAAACUUCUUUUGUAUAGGGAUAAACCUACUCUCGUGAGAGUAGCUGAAGGUACUAGACGAAUAAGCACCGGCUAACUCCGUG
This 479-nucleotide ribosomal RNA is filed under the name uncultured bacterium. RNAcentral's name for it is "partial 16S ribosomal RNA". It matches the Rfam family "Bacterial small subunit ribosomal RNA", at positions 28 to 507 of the family's 1533-position model. The record is from RNAcentral.